AACGAACGCUGGCGGCAGGCUUAACACAUGCAAGUCGAACGCUCGUAGCAAUACGGGAGUGGCGGACGGGUGAGUAACGCGUGGGAGCCUACCUAUUGGUACGGAAUAGCUCAGGGAAACUUGAGGUAAUACCGUAUACGCCCUUACGGGGAAAGAUUUAUCGCCGAUAGAUGGGCCCGCGUCUGAUUAGCUAGUUGGUCAGGUAAUGGCUCACCAAGGCGACGAUCAGUAGCUGGUUUGAGAGAAUGACCAGCCACACUGGGACUGAGACACGGCCCAGACUCCUACGGGAGGCAGCAGUGGGGAAUCUUGGACAAUGGGCGCAAGCCUGAUCCAGCCAUGCCGCGUGAGUGACGAAGGCCUAGGGUUGUAAAGCUCUUUUGGCGGGACGAUAAUGACGGUACCGCAGAAUAAGCCCCGGCUAACUUCGUGCCAGCAGCCGC
RNAcentral lists this ribosomal RNA (443 nucleotides) under uncultured bacterium. Its description in RNAcentral is "bacterial SSU rRNA". It matches the Rfam family "Bacterial small subunit ribosomal RNA", at positions 29 to 518 of the family's 1533-position model. The record is from RNAcentral.